CCCUCUCAUCCCUAAUUUCUCUAGUUACGUUAAAUUCCACUCUUUCCAAACUUAAUAGCCAUUAAUCAACACCCAAAAACAAGAUGGUGGAAUUGAGGAUUGUAGCUGGGGAUUGCUUUUCUUCUUAUCAUCUUUCUUCCUGGGUCGUCUUUUCUGCCCUCCACUCUUUCACCAUUUUUGCUGGCGACCAGCUUUCCCAUGCACCAAGCCGAUGAUGCUGCCAUGUCUGCAAGCAUAGAUGCCUACAGCUGCAGUAAGAGAUGUAAAGCUUCAAAGUCGUCAAUGUCCGCUUACGUGUUCAGGUAGCUGUUGAGCGAAGGAGGGGUCGGGUUGGGAGCAUCAAUUUAUAAGUUAAUUAAAUUAAUUUAUAUACUCUAAAAAUUAGUUAAUUUCUUUGUUUAUUUUUUUAAUUAAAUUUAUAAAUUGAGUUUAUACAUAUUUAUAAACUAAUUUAAUCAAUUACUUUUUUUAACAUAGUUUUUUUUUUAUUAAAAAUAAAAUUCAUUGAAAAGUCUUAACAAAAUAAGAUGGAGAUUAAAAAUUGGUUUGACAUAAGGGAUAGGAACAAAAGGAUCCAUCAUGCUUGUUUUAGUAGCAAGCAAGCGACAAGCACACUUAUAAGUGAUCAAACAAAUUAACUAUCUAAAGAAUAUCAAGGAUGAUGCUUGAAUAACUAGUGGGUCUUCUGCUCCAUUUGCUGCUUUAAUCAUCGUCAGAGAAUUCCCUUCAAAUUACUUUAUCAUGCCUUCAUUUAAUUUUAAAAUACAACUAUAUAACUCAUUUAUGACAUUUUUUUAAUAUUUCAAUAAUAAAUAUAUUUAUAAACUACUUUAUCGUACUUAUUAAUAAUUUAAUUAUAAAAAUUAUACACCUUGCCGCCUCUUCUUCCAAACGCAAACAUUUACCUUCAAGCUGCAAUCACAAGAGCUCAAGUUCGCCGAACAGCACAGUUUCAUCCAACCGUCUGGGGUGAGUACUUCGUCAAGCACGUAUCCGAUAAUAAGGUAAUUGUAAGGAGCAAAUCCAUAGGUGUUCAAAUUGCAAGGAAAAAAAGAAAUUAUAAUGCAUAAAGUUUUAAUGUCUUUGCACAGAUGGUAAGUGUUUGGACAGAACAAGCCAAGAUCCUGAAAGAAGAAGUGAGGAGGAUGCUUACCUCUGCUACUGAUCAUAAAUCUUCAGAAAAGCUGAAGUUGUUAGAUGCUAUUCAACGACUUGGGAUUUCUUACCAUUUUGAAGGAGAAAUAGAAGAAGCAUUGAAACAAAUUUAUCAAGACUUUAAAGAUGAUGGGAACCUCGGUACUGUUGCUCUUCGAUUUCGCCUUCUAAGACAACAGGGCUAUAAUGUUUCAUCUGGUAAGUCCCUUAAAAGAAAUCUCCAUCUCCAUUUCUAAAUUUGGACGCAUGUAUAUUCUUCACCAUUUACUCAUUGUGUGGCUGCUCUAUUUGUGGGUGAAUCAGAUGUUUUCAACAAGUUUAAGGACAGGGAAGGUAACUUUAGGGAAGAUUUAACCAAUGAUGUGCAGGGCUUGUUAAGCUUGUAUGAAGCUUCGCAUCUUAGUGUGCGAGGAGAAGAUACACUAGAUGAAGCUCUUGAAUUCACCAAAACUCGGGGAAAUUACCCAGAGGGAGUAAUGGGAAAUAAAAAAUACCAAAAGGGGAUCAAACUACAACUUAUUUACCAAAAGGGGUUGAGAGAGAGAGAGAGAGAGA
This 1710-nucleotide unclassified non-coding RNA is filed under the name Hevea brasiliensis (rubber tree). Lineage: Eukaryota; Viridiplantae; Streptophyta; Magnoliopsida; Malpighiales; Euphorbiaceae. The record is from RNAcentral.